RNAcentral lists this ribosomal RNA (460 nucleotides) under uncultured bacterium. RNAcentral's name for it is "partial 16S ribosomal RNA". It matches the Rfam family "Bacterial small subunit ribosomal RNA", at positions 338 to 795 of the family's 1533-position model. The record is from RNAcentral.
CCUACGGGAGGCAGCAGUGAGGAAUAUUGGUCAAUGGACGAGAGUCUGAACCAGCCAAGUAGCGUGAAGGAUGACUGCCCUAUGGGUUGUAAACUUCUUUUAUAUGGGAAUAAAACGUUCCACGUGUGGGAUUUUGUAUGUACCAUAUGAAUAAGGAUCGGCUAACUCCGUGCCAGCAGCCGCGGUAAUACGGAGGAUCCGAGCGUUAUCCGUAUUUAUUGGGUUUAAAGGGAGCGUAGGUGGAGUGUUAAGUCAGUUGUGAAAGUUUGCGGCUCAACCGUAAAAUUGCAGUUGAAACUGGCAGUCUUGAGUACAGUAGAGGUGGGCGGAAUUCGUGGUGUAGCGGUGAAAUGCUUAGAUAUCACGAAGAACUCCGAUUGCGAAGGCAGUUCACUGGACUGCAACUGACACUGAGGCUCGAAAGUGUGGGUAUCAAACAGGAUUAGAUACCCCUGUAGUC